GACGAACGCUGGCGGCGUGCUUAACACAUGCAAGUCGAACGGAAAGGCCUCUUUCGGGGGGUACUCGAGUGGCGAACGGGUGAGUAACACGUGAGUAACCUGCCCUUGACUUUGGGAUAACUUCAGGAAACUGGGGCUAAUACCGGAUAGGAGCUCCUGCUGCAUGGUGGGGGUUGGAAAGUUUCGGCGGUUGGGGAUGGACUCGCGGCUUAUCAGCUUGUUGGUGGGGUAGUGGCUUACCAAGGCUUUGACGGGUAGCCGGCCUGAGAGGGUGACCGGCCACAUUGGGACUGAGAUACGACCCAGACUCCUACGGGAGGCAGCAGUGGGGAAUAUUGCACAAUGGGUGGAAGCCGGAUGCAGCAACGCCGUGUGCGGGAUGACGGCCUUCGGGUUGUAAACCGCUUUCGCUCAUGACGAAGCUUUGUGUGACGGUAGUGGGUAAAGAAGCACCGGCUAACUACGUG
This 467-nucleotide ribosomal RNA is filed under the name uncultured bacterium. RNAcentral's name for it is "partial 16S ribosomal RNA". It matches the Rfam family "Bacterial small subunit ribosomal RNA", at positions 28 to 507 of the family's 1533-position model. The record is from RNAcentral.